GCCGGGCGUGGUGGCUCACGCCUGUAAUCCCAACACUUUGGGAGGCCGAGGCGGGCGGAUCACCAGAGGUCGGGAGUUCUGGACCAGCCUAACUAACACGGUGAAACCCCGUCUCUA
RNAcentral lists this non-coding RNA (117 nucleotides) under Nomascus leucogenys (northern white-cheeked gibbon). The record is from Rfam by way of RNAcentral. Lineage: Eukaryota; Metazoa; Chordata; Mammalia; Primates; Hylobatidae.